GGCCAUCAGAGAUUUCAAUGCACUGUCAAUCUACAAGAAGGGUAUAUGAUAUGCAGUUGUUUCACAAACACUGUAACAAAUGAUUUUGAAGAGGACAUCUUAGGAUACUCUGAGUUACUCCAACUUGGACAUUUCACAGCAGAGUAUCUUUUGCAAGUGGGUCAGAGAGAUACGCCAUGAGAAGCACUCAACUUGCAAUUGUUGAUUCUGAAGAUGGAAGAAGGGGGCCACGAGCCAUGGAAUGCAGCAGCCUCUAGAAGAGGAUGGCCCUAGGCUGACAGGAGCAAGAUAACAGGGACUUUGGUCUUACAACUGCGUGGAAUUGAAUUCAGCCAACAAUUCAAAUAAACUUCCAGAAAGAAACACAGCCUGCUGAUACCUUGACUUUAAUCUGGUGAGACCCAUAGUGGACAUCUGAUAUACAAAAUUGUAAGAUGAUAAUUACGUUUUUUUAAGCCAUUAAAUUUGUGGUGAUUUGUUUCUACAGCAGCCUAGAAAACUAAUAUGCAUAUAGUAGUGUGUAUGUGUGUGUGUGUGUCUGGCUUAUUGUACUUAAUAUAAUAUUUGCAAGAUUCCUAUCUGCUAUUAUUGAUUUUCAUUGUUGUAUAUUAUCCUUUUGUUCAAAUAUGCCAUAAUUUAUUUACCUAUUCUAUUGUUGAUGGACAUUUGGUUAUUCCCAGGUUUAGGCUAUUACAAACAAUGCUGCCAUGCACAUCCCUGUAUAUAUUUUUGUUGAACACAUGUACUCAUUACUAUUGGGUAUAUACCUAGGGAUAGAUCAUAGGGUAUAUGUUUGGCUCUGAUAGAUACUGACAAAAAAUCUUCCAAUGUGGUGGUUUACUUCCCAUGAGCAAUGUUUGAGACUCUCUACAUGUUCACAAACACUUGGUAUGAACAGUCUUUAAUUUUAGCCAUUCUGGGAGUACCACCAUUUCAUGUGAAUUGACCGUUUUACAUAUCCUCUUUUAAGAAAUGCCUGUUCAAGUCUUUUGUCCAUUAAAAAAAAAUGUUUUUUUUUUCUCAAAGACUUGUAGCUGCUCUUUACAUAUUCUGAAGAUAAAUUUCUUUUCCAGAUGUCUGGAUUACAAAUAUCUUUUCCUGUGCUCUGUCUUGCCCCAUUCUCUUCAUGGUGUCUUUAGAUGAACAGAGGUUUGUAUUUUAAUGUAGUUCAUCAAUAUUUUCCUUUGUGAUUAGUAUGCUUUGUGCCUGUUUAAUACUUAAUCUUUGCCUAUCACACACUUAGGAAGUUAUUUUUCAAUAUUAUCUUCUAGACUUUUAUUGUUUUACAUUUUAUAUUUUUAUCUAUAAUCCAUGUAGAAAGAUUUUUGUGUAUAGUGUGAGGUUGGGUCAAGAGCCAUUUUUAAAAAAGUUGGAUAUCCAAUUGAUGCAGUGUCAUUUACUAAAAAGAUCAUCCUUUUCCACUUCAGAGCAAUUUUACUUUUGUCAUAAAAUCAAGAGGUUGUAUGUGUGUGUUAUUGUUUCUGCACUCUAUAUUAUUCCAUUGGUCUACUUGUCUACACUUAUACCAAUUUCAUACUGCCUGUAAUUAUGUAACCUCAUAAUAAAUCCUAACAUCAUAUAAUGUAAAUUCUCUGACUUCAUUUUUCUGUGUUUUGCCUAUUGUUGGUCUUUUAUAUUUCCAUAUUAAUAUUAGAAUCACUUUGUCUAAUCUAUCACCAUCACCAACAAAUAAAUAAAAAAUAUCUUCUGAGAUGUUGAUAGGAAUUGCAGUGAAUCAAUAUAUCAGUUUGGGAGAAAUGAAAUCUUUGCCACAUUGCAUCUUCCUAUUCAUGAAUAAGGUAUACCCCACAUUUAUGCAUCUUCCUUUAAUAACAUUUGUGGCUUUUUUGUAUAGUGGUGCUCUUUUGUCAGUUCUAUUCCUAUGACUUUAAUGUUUUUCACUCCUACUGUCAAUGAUAUGUUUAGUUUUCUUAUUGUUUAGUAUUGUUAUAUGGAAAUACAACUGAUUACUUUGAUAUUAACCUUGUUAUUUAGUAAAAUUGCUAAAGUUACUUUUUAAUUAUAGCAGUCUAUCUAGUUAUUUUGAAUUUUAAACAUACAGAAUUAUGUUACCAGAAAAUAAGGAUCAUUUUAUUGUUUUCCUUCCAAUCAUCUUACUUUUUCUUGCACCUCCCCUUAAUAGCAGUAGUGAUAGAAGGGUAGAGUAGUGAUAGAAGGUGUCUCAUACCUGUUUCCAGGGAAAAAGCUUCCAAAAUUUCAUUACUAAGUAUGGUGUUUAGGCUGGCUCCCUGGCUCACACCUGUAAUCCCAGCACUUUGGGAGGAUCACUUGUGGCCAGGAGUUAGAACAGCCUGACCAACAUGGUGAAACUCCAUCUCUACUAAAAAUACAAAAAUUAGCCAAGCAUGGUGGUGCAUGGCUAUAGUCCCAGGUACUCAGGAGGCUAAAGCAUGAAAAUCACUUGACUAGGGGAGGCAGAGGUUGCAGUGAGCCAAGAUCUUGGCACUACAUUCCAGACUGUGUGAUGGAGUGAGACUCU
This 2500-nucleotide long non-coding RNA is filed under the name Homo sapiens (human). Its description in RNAcentral is "HSALNT0179211". The record is from RNAcentral. Lineage: Eukaryota; Metazoa; Chordata; Mammalia; Primates; Hominidae.